CCACACGCCCUGCCUGCCAGUGUCACAGCCUCCCUCCCCCGCAUCCACUGCAGGCAGGCUUCCGAAGGAGCAAGAAGAACAGCUGCUGCGCCACAAUAGUUCCUUACAGAGCCGGUAAAUAGACAAGGCCCCAUUUUCUUGACCUUUGCCACCUCUGCUCCAUCCUCAGAAUGAGUGUUUUGAGUCUGGGCUGUGAGGGGGAAGGGAAGGAGGAUAAGCGAGGCUACUUUUUCACUUUGCCUUUCUCUGUCCUUAAAAAUAAGAGAAGUGUUCAUUGGGAAAUUUUGCUUAGUAAUUUUGUCCCCAGUCUUAAAAACAACCAAACACACACACACACAAAAAAACGAUGUCGUGUGACGUGUGCAUGUGUGUAUCUGUUUCACAAUCCCAUCUUAAGAGGAGUUGCUUCAUAAAAGAGGCCUCUCUUUCUUUAGGAGGCUGUGCGAUUUGCUCAGUGGAGGAGAAGCUCACUGGCAUUGUUCAAGCAGGUCACUGCACUUGGACAAGCUGGCCAGUGAGGGGGGACUCUGAACGCGGGUAGCAGCUCGGCGUUUCCAAGUGGGUAAAAAUAAUGUUAGCUCCUUCAGAGAAGCAAGUGGGAAUCCAUAUGCUCUUUCAGCUCUCAGGCAAGGACCACCCAAUAGCGCCUUUCACCAUGCAAUAAAGAAGCAUUUCUUCCUAUAGGAGCGUUUCUUCUUAGCAGGUUGGGAGCGUUGUAUCUGCACAGAGUUCCAAUGUGACCCUGGCUUGGUGGCUGUGAACUGCAUUUGGAAGCAACAGUCACCCCAAUCCACUGCCAUACAAGCUUCCAGCAGAGCAGCCCCAUGUGAUAGAUCUUUUCUUUUUGUGAAAAAGUCAGAGAGCAAGAAGUAAAUCAAAGCUUCGAGCCUUGCCUGCUAGGCUGUCCCUGCGUACGGAGCUCAAAGGUGAUGCUGCUCGCUCUCACCCCCUCACUAACAAAAGACUCCCUAAUCCUGAUUCCCUUACACAAAAAACGUGUAAAACCAGCCUGGGGACUGGAAAUAAAAUGAAUACUGCAGGAGCAGCUGGCACAUUAAUACCCCCCAAAACACUAGCUGGCACCUCACCCUGAAACCCAAUCAUUCUGUCUCGGUAGGGACUGGGGAGGGGUUUAGUUUUGCUAUAAUACAAUGAAGUAUAUUUUUAACAAAUAAACACAAUUUUGGCAGAGUAAAGACUCUGAUGCUGGGAAAGAUUGAGGGCAGGAGGAGAAGGGGACGACAGAGGAUGAGAUGGCUGGAUGGCGUCACUGACUUGAUGGACGUGAGUUUGAGUGAACUCCGGGAGUUGGUGAUGGACAGGGAGGCCUGGCGUGCUGCGGUUCAUGGGGUCGCAAAGAGUGGGACACGACUGAGCGACUGGACUGAACUGAGGCAUCAUUAGCUGGUAGAUGCUUUAUACGUUUGCUGUAACUCUCUGUACUCCUUCCAUCCUCAGUACCACUCCGCCUCCACACACACCCAGAAGAAAUAGCUGAGGAAAGAAGUAAUUGCCCACAAAUGUGGUAAAUCAGAAAAGAAUGGCUGUGCCCCAACUUUACAAUCAAAUAUUACUUCCCCUUCUGAUGAGCCACUGCCUGAACAACCCUCAGUAAUUUUAUUUUCAUUUCCUGAAGGCUUGAGUCUUGCCUUAUAGCUAGCAAGUUUUGUAUUUGGUCACCAUUUUCUGAGCUCUGUCUCUUGUCAGCUUUGCAUUUUCUCAAAGUAAACCCAGCCCAAACUUCUGGGAAAUCUAAGUACCGUGUCUUCAAGGUGGGUUGGAUAAAGAGUUGUGUUUAGAGAGCUAUGUAGUUUUCUUUGCAUUAUCGUCAAUGUCUGCUGAUUCUUUGGGCCAGAGGAUGAACAAGGUUGAGGAACACAGCUUUUGCUAGUUCCUCAGCCACAUCCCAUGCUGGGAAUUCACAGCUGCUGUGUGGUGGCUUGGGGGAGAUUUAUUGGGAAAGAGUAAGUUUUAGUUAAUUCCAACUGCUCAGCAGAGUCACAUGUGGCUCUCACCCAAGAGUCCAGACCCUCUCUUUAAGGGAGGGAUAACCGUGAGGGAAAAGUGAGAGGAAAAUGCCGAAAGCAGGCAAAAAGAGUGAUGGAAGAGAAAUAGCAUUCACUUGGGAUUCAGGCUGCAAACAGGGAAAAUCGUAGAGAAAGAAACCCUUCUCUUUUUCUGAAUGCUGCUCCCAGCUCCCCAUGGCUCCAAUCCUCUUGUAAUUGAGGUCUGAAUUGGAGAGCUUCCUAAGGCUGCUGAGUGUGAUCACACUUAAUUUCAAGUAGCAAAGUCCAUUUCAACCCAUAUUCUCACACUGACAGGGUGAAUCUGAAUAAUAGCUGUAUUGAGGCUGGUUUUUGAAUGACUUGCGUGGCCAAUAUGAAUGUUACUUUUUUAGAAGAGAAUGUGUUUAAUAGUUCAGAAACAUCGUUUUGCUGACCCCAGAAUCAUCUCAGGAAUUCCGUCCAGUACAGCUCUUUGAAGCGCUAGUUCAAAACAAUGAUUGUCUCCCAGUGCUCCCUCCAAGAUCUCUGCACUGGAGCAAUUUCCCAAGGCUUGGUUUCUGGCUAUGUUACCGGAUGCUCACGCCCGAUGAAGCCUGACUCUCCAGGGGCCCAGGAUGGCAGAGAAGUUCCAGGUUUCAUGUCAAGACAGAGACAGAACAGCUUCUAGAGGAAAACAAGAGGCCAUCUCCUCUCAGACUUACGUACAAGCUUCUCAGUGGACUUGUCAGAUCUCAUUGCCUAAAUUUGUGUCCCAUGCACAUUCCUAACAACAAUAAUGGCCACUAUUGGCUUCAGCUAAUGGGGAUCCACCUUCUGGAUAUGGGUACAAGUUAAUGAAGCUUACAGCUGAGAGGAUGUGGGAUGAUAAGGGAACCGAUUAGAAUUCAGUUAGGAAGGUCAAGGUGGGGAAUAGUGGUUGGGAACCCACUGUGCCAACUACACUGCUUUUCUUCAUUGUUCUUGGAGACUCACAGACUCAAGAUUUUAAUUGCCUCAGUGCAGAUGAACCUCAUCACCACCUUUGACCAAGACCCCUCUUGAUUUCUAGUUACACUUAGUGCGUGCGUGCUAAGUUGCUUCAAUUGUGUCCGACUCUGUGAAACCCCACGAACCAUGGCCUGCCAGGCUCCUCUGUCUAUGCAAUUCUCCAGGCAAGAAUACUGGAGUAGGGAGCCAUUCCCUUCUCAGGGAACCUGUACUCAUAAGUAUAUUGAUCAAGGCAUUGGUUAUCUAUUGUUGCAUAACAACUUGCCUCAAAAAACUUAAUGGCUGAAAAUAAUAUAUAUCUCACAAUUCUGUGGGCCAAUAAACUGGGUGUGGCUUAGCUGGUGAUUUUGGCUCAAGAUUUUUUUAGUGAGGUUUCCCUCUAAUUGGUGGCUGGGACUGAAGUUUCAUCUGAAGUCUCAGCUGGGAUGAAGGAUCUAUUUGCAGGCUCACUCGUGGGUGUUGGCAGAUCUGAGUCCCAUGCCACAUGUGCCUCUGCACAUGAGAGAGUACACCCAAGAGGAAAGCCAUGCUUUUAAAUACCCUAAUUCCAGAAG
Bos taurus (domestic cattle) is the source of this 3547-nucleotide long non-coding RNA. Lineage: Eukaryota; Metazoa; Chordata; Mammalia; Artiodactyla; Bovidae. The record is from Ensembl.